GACGAACGCUGGCGGCGUGCUUAACACAUGCAAGUCGAACGGAAAGGCCCCGCUUUUGUGGGGUGCUCGAGUGGCGAACGGGUGAGUAACACGUGAGUAACCUGCCCUUGACUUUGGGAUAACUUCAGGAAACUGGGGCUAAUACCGGAUAGGAGCUCCUGCUGCAUGGUGGGGGUUGGAAAGUUUCGGCGGUUGGGGAUGGACUCGCGGCUUAUCAGCUUGUUGGUGGGGUAGUGGCUUACCAAGGCUUUGACGGGUAGCCGGCCUGAGAGGGUGAACGGCCACAUUGGGACUGAGAUACGGCCCAGACUCCUACGGGAGGCAGCAGUGGGGAAUAUUGCACAGUGGGCGGAAGCCUGAUGCAGCAACGCCGCGUGCGGGAUGACGGCCUUCGGGUUGUAAACCGCUUUCGCCUGUGACGAAGCGUGAGUGACGGUAAUGGGUAAAGAAGCACCGGCUAACUACGUG
This 468-nucleotide ribosomal RNA is filed under the name uncultured bacterium. Its description in RNAcentral is "partial 16S ribosomal RNA". It matches the Rfam family "Bacterial small subunit ribosomal RNA", at positions 28 to 507 of the family's 1533-position model. The record is from RNAcentral.